AGCAGCGUGGCUCAGUGGAAAGAGCCGGGCUUGGGAGUCAGAGGUCAUGGGUUCGAAUCCCAGCUCUGCCA
Non-coding RNA from Ornithorhynchus anatinus (platypus), 71 nucleotides. Lineage: Eukaryota; Metazoa; Chordata; Mammalia; Monotremata; Ornithorhynchidae. The record is from Rfam.